AUGUAACAUGAAUUUCUAGUAAUAGGUCCAUUAGGUCCAUUUUAAAAAAAAUCACACAUGAAUCAAGGUUGUGACUUCUGUUUUAAUAUAUAAGAUAAAGAGAGCAUUACAUGUAGACAUACUUUGGGCUGGGUAUAUAACACUUUAAGGUACUUUAUGCUGGUGGUGUACUUUUGGCCUUCUGUGUUGAGUUGAGAUUCCCAUCAUACCCCUGUGAGUAUUAAUAGUUACGACCAAGUUUAUAAAAGGUAAACACUAGUUAGAGUUCUCUUGUUGCAAUUAAUUGGUAACUUUAUUGAGUGGUGGACUUUCGUAAUAGCCGUUGGAUUAAAGAUAAUAAAGAGAAAUCUGAGGGCUGAGGUUUGGUGUGGUCAAGAGAGGUAGUGAUGUGGGCAGAGUUAGAAGUGUUGAGGUCAUGGCUAGAGAGUGUGUGGUCGUGGCCAGAGAUCGUGUGGUCAUGGUUAGAAACCGUGUGGUUAAAGUUACGUAGAACAUUCCUAAGGAGAUAGAGGAUGUUGGGUCUGAAGUAGAUCUUCUAUUGUUUCCUUGGAUACCUGUUAGUGAUGAAGAGCCGUUCAAGUAGAUGUGAGAUUUAAGAACAGUUAGAUUUAGAAUUUGAGACAUCAAAAGUAGAGAAAAAUACAAAAA
This is a long non-coding RNA of Brassica rapa (field mustard), 648 nucleotides long. RefSeq lists it as uncharacterized. Lineage: Eukaryota; Viridiplantae; Streptophyta; Magnoliopsida; Brassicales; Brassicaceae. The record is from RefSeq and is a predicted model, not a curated record.